UCUCCGUAGGUGAACCUGCGGAGGGAUCAUUACAGAGUUCUCGCCCUCGCGGGUAGAUCUCCCACCCACUGUUAUCGUUACUGUGUUGCUUUGGCGGGCCGCCGGGCCCCGCUCGGCCGCCGGCUCCGGCUGGCGCGCGCCCGACAGAGGCCCAGCAAACUCUGAAUGUUAGUGUCGUCUGAGUACUAUAUAAUAGUUAAAACUUUCAACAACGGAUCUCUUGGUUCUG
RNAcentral lists this unclassified non-coding RNA (229 nucleotides) under plant metagenome. RNAcentral's name for it is "partial contains small subunit ribosomal RNA, internal transcribed spacer 1, and 5.8S ribosomal RNA". The record is from RNAcentral.